GACGAACGCUGGCGGCGUGCUUAACACAUGCAAGUCGAACGGAAAGGCCCUGCUUUUGUGGGGUGCUCGAGUGGCGAACGGGUGAGUAACACGUGAGUAACCUGCCCUUGACUUUGGGAUAACUUCAGGAAACUGGGGCUAAUACCGGAUAGGAGCUCCUGCUGCAUGGUGGGGGUUGGAAAGCUUCGGCGGUUGGGGAUGGACUCGCGGCUUAUCAGCUUGUUGGUGGGGUAGUGGCUUACCAAGGCUUUGACGGGUAGCCGGCCUGAGAGGGUGACCGGCCACAUUGGGACUGAGAUACGGCCCAGACUCCUACGGGAGGAAGCGGUGGGGAAUAUUGCAAAAUGGGCGGAAGCCUGAUGCAGCAACGCCGCGUGCGGGAUGACGGCCUUCGGGUUGUAAACCGCUUUCGCCUGUGACGAAGCGUGAGUGACGGUAAUGGGUAAAGAAGCACCGGCUAACUACGU
This 467-nucleotide ribosomal RNA is filed under the name uncultured bacterium. RNAcentral's name for it is "partial 16S ribosomal RNA". It matches the Rfam family "Bacterial small subunit ribosomal RNA", at positions 28 to 506 of the family's 1533-position model. The record is from RNAcentral.